CUUUCCGCCUCCGCAUCCUCUCUUGCAGCCUGCACCCCCUGGACAUCUUGACUCCAUCCUUCAGCAUCCUCUCCCUCACUGUAUCCUGACUGCUUGGACCACCCUCCUCUCCAGCCCCCACUGAACAACAGAUUGGGAAGGGGAAUUUCACAAGGAGCUCUUGAUCUUGGCAGAGACGCUGCCGAGCCACCUGCCCCACCUGGCAGCCCAACCACUUCUCCAGAAAGAACCCUUUGCUCGGUCCACCCACCAGGAAAUCUGCAGAUUAACACCAUCCUCCUUGCAAGAGUUCACCUUCCCAGUGGAUCCCCC
RNAcentral lists this long non-coding RNA (312 nucleotides) under Bos mutus (wild yak). Its description in RNAcentral is "lncRNA (ENSBMUG00000014159.1)". Lineage: Eukaryota; Metazoa; Chordata; Mammalia; Artiodactyla; Bovidae. The record is from RNAcentral.